GACGAACGCUGGCGACGCGCUUAACACAUGCAAGUCGAACGGAAAGGCCUGCUUUCCCUUGUGGAUUGCGGGUACUCGAGUGGCGAACGGGUGAGUAACACGUGAGUGAUCUGCCCCCAACUUGGGUAUAAGCCUGGGAAACUGGGUCUAAUUCCCGAUAGGACUGCAGGGUGGUGCCUGUGGUGGAAAACGAUUUUCUAGUGGUUGGGGAUGAGCUCGCGGCCUAUCAGCUUGUUGGUGGGGUAAUGGCCUACCAAGGCGGCGACGGGUAGCCGGCCUGAGAGGGUGGACGGCCGCAUUGGGACUGAGAUACGGCCCAGACUCCUACGGGAGGCAGCAGUGGGGAAUAUUGCACAAUGGGCGGAAGCCUGAUGCAGCGACGCCGCGUGGGGGAUGACGGCCUUCGGGUUGUAAACUCCUUUCGACCGCGAGGAAGCCACCUGGUUGGAAGGGUGGUGACGGUAGUGGUAGAAGAAGCACCGGCUAACUACGUG
Molecule: ribosomal RNA, 494 nt
Filed under: uncultured bacterium
Lineage: Bacteria
Description: partial 16S ribosomal RNA
Rfam family: Bacterial small subunit ribosomal RNA
Source: RNAcentral